AGGUGUAGUGGUGCAUACCCAUCAUCUCUGCCACUGGGGAGACUAAGGCAGGUGGAUAUCUUGAGCUUAGGAGUUCUGAGCUGUAGUAAGCUAAGCUGAUUGGGUAUUCAUGCUAAAUGUAGCCUGAAUAGAGUGAGUCCCUGGAACUGGAGGCCAUCAGAUUACCUAACGAAAGGCAAACAGGCCUAGGUAAGAAAUGGAGCAGGUCUAAGUUCCCAUGUUGAUCAGUAAUGGAAAUUGACUCAUAAAUAGCCCCAGCACUUCCAGCCUAGAUGAGAUAAGGAGACUUAGUCCUU
Molecule: signal recognition particle RNA, 296 nt
Filed under: Phascolarctos cinereus (koala)
Lineage: Eukaryota; Metazoa; Chordata; Mammalia; Diprotodontia; Phascolarctidae
Description: Metazoan signal recognition particle RNA (ENSPCIG00000010962.2)
Rfam family: Metazoan signal recognition particle RNA
About the family: The signal recognition particle (SRP) is a universally conserved ribonucleoprotein.
Source: RNAcentral